RNAcentral lists this ribosomal RNA (253 nucleotides) under uncultured bacterium. RNAcentral's name for it is "partial 16S ribosomal RNA". It matches the Rfam family "Bacterial small subunit ribosomal RNA", at positions 524 to 776 of the family's 1533-position model. The record is from RNAcentral.
UACGGAGGGUGCAAGCGUUAUCCGGAUUCACUGGGCUUAAAGGGUGCGUAGGCGGCUUGGUAAGUCCGUGGUGAAAUCCCCGAGCUUAACUUGGGAACUGCCGUGGAUACUAUCAGUCUUGAGUAUCGUGAAGGUAAGCGGAAUAUGUCAUGUAGCGGUGAAAUGCUUAGAUAUGACAUAGAACACCAAUUGCGUAGGCAGCUUACUGCUAAUAUAUUGACGCUGAGGGACGAAAGCGUGGGGAGCGAACAGG